RNAcentral lists this transfer RNA (73 nucleotides) under Stegodyphus dumicola. RNAcentral describes it as "tRNA-Ser". It matches the Rfam family "tRNA". Rfam says of the family: Transfer RNA (tRNA) molecules are approximately 80 nucleotides in length. Their secondary structure includes four short double-helical elements and three loops (D, anti-codon, and T loops). Further hydrogen bonds mediate the characteristic L-shaped molecular structure. tRNAs have two regions of fundamental functional importance: the anti-codon, which is responsible for specific mRNA codon recognition, and the 3' end, to which the tRNAs corresponding amino acid is attached (by aminoacyl-tRNA synthetases). tRNAs cope with the degeneracy of the genetic code in two manners: having more than one tRNA (with a specific anti-codon) for a particular amino acid; and 'wobble' base-pairing, i.e. permitting non-standard base-pairing at the 3rd anti-codon position. Lineage: Eukaryota; Metazoa; Arthropoda; Arachnida; Araneae; Eresidae. The record is from RNAcentral.
GCCUUCGUGGUGUAGUGGUCAGCACGCUCGACACGAAUUUCAGAGGUCCGUGGUUCGAGUCCCGGCGAGGGCA